UACGGGGGGAGCAAGCGUUGUUCGGAUUUACUGGGCGUAAAGGGCGCGUAGGCGGUCAGCACAAGUCAGUUGUGAAAUCUCCGAGCUUAACUCGGAAAGGUCAACUGAUACUGUGCGACUAGAGUGCGGAAGGGGCAACUGGAAUUCUUGGUGUAGCGGUGAAAUGCGUAGAUAUCAAGAGGAACACCAGUGGCGAAGGCGGCUCACUGGACCGGUAUUGACGCUGAGGUGCGAAAGCGUGGGGAGCAAACAGG
This 254-nucleotide ribosomal RNA is filed under the name uncultured bacterium. RNAcentral's name for it is "partial 16S ribosomal RNA". It matches the Rfam family "Bacterial small subunit ribosomal RNA", at positions 524 to 776 of the family's 1533-position model. The record is from RNAcentral.